This 256-nucleotide ribosomal RNA is filed under the name uncultured bacterium. RNAcentral describes it as "partial 16S ribosomal RNA". It matches the Rfam family "Bacterial small subunit ribosomal RNA", at positions 521 to 776 of the family's 1533-position model. The record is from RNAcentral.
UAAUACGUAGGGUGCGAGCGUUAAUCGGAAUUACUGGGCGUAAAGGGUGCGCAGGCGGUUGAUUAAGUCAGAUGUGAAAUCCCCGGGCUCAACCUGGGAAUGGCAUUUGAGACUGGUCGGCUAGAGUGUGUCAGAGGGGGGUAGAAUUCCACGUGUAGCAGUGAAAUGCGUAGAGAUGUGGAGGAAUACCGAUGGCGAAGGCAGCCCCCUGGGAUAACACUGACGCUCAGGCACGAAAGCGUGGGGAGCAAACAGG